CCCCCGAUUUGGGGCUCAAGUCAGCGAGGCCUCGGGACUGUUAAUCCGUAGGUCCCUGGUUCGAGCCCAGGUCGGGGAGCCA
RNAcentral lists this transfer RNA (82 nucleotides) under Cupriavidus basilensis. RNAcentral describes it as "tRNA-Asn (GTT) (tRNA-Asn-GTT-3-1)". The record is from RNAcentral. RNAcentral also lists the same sequence under 5 other names. Lineage: Bacteria; Pseudomonadati; Pseudomonadota; Betaproteobacteria; Burkholderiales; Burkholderiaceae.